GGCUAAACUUCAUUUUAUGGGCAAUUUAUCAUGAGUCAUGCAUUUGGUAAUAUUGGUAAUGUUGCUCUCAAAGUCUCACAUAAAAUGGGUAACAAGAAGUUUGUACAUACCUUAUCUUUCUUUGUGCUGUCCACAUCAGUCUUUCUUUUGGGCUUUUGUAUUUCCUCACUUGUUACUUUGACUUCUGUAACAGUUCUCUGCAUUUUAUCUUUCGUCUGAUCCAUAUGUUCUCUCUCAGUCUUUACUUGUUCUCUCUUGAUUUCCAGCUCUUCUUUUUGCCUCUGUAUUUUUGCCUUCAUCAGUUCUAAUUCAUCCCGCUCUCGCAGAAUCUUCUCCAUCCUUUGGUCUAGCUCCUUUCUUCUUUUUUGUGCCUCUGUCUUCAUCCGUCUGAUUUUGUCCUUUUCUCCCUUUAAUUCUUCCUUGCUCAGUUCCAUUUCUUCUUUCACCCUUCUUAACACCUCCCUGGUUUGUUCCACCUCUAGAAUCAAUCUCUGGAUUUCAGCAUUCAUUCUGUCUUUGUAACCCAUCUCCAUAUUGCUUUCUUCCAUCCUGUUUUCCAUUGAUACUUUUGUUUGUCGUAUCAUUUCUCUGGUUCGCUCCACCUCUUGGAUUAAUCUCUGUAUCUCAGCAUUCAAUUGAUCCUUCCCAUCAAUGUUUUCAAAGCUCUCUUCCAUACGAAUCUCCAGUUCCUCUUUGGCUCUUUCUAUUUCAGCCUUUGCCUGUUCAAUUCCAUGUUUCUCCCUUUUGCUCUCUUCCCUUCUUUGUUCCAUCUCUUUUUUAGCUUUCUCUAUUUCCUUCUUAAUCUUUUCCAUUUCUUCUUUUUGUCUCAAGGUCUUUCUCAUCCUCUGUUCAAGGUCCUUUUUCUUCAUUUGUAUCUCAUUCUUCACUAGUUCCAACUCUUCUAUUUCUCUCUUGGUCUUAUGUAUCUUGUCCUCAAUAUCCUGCUUUUGUCUCUGGAUGUCUUCCCUCAGUCUUUGCAUCUCAUCCAUUUCUGUCUUAGCUUGUUGCAUUUUUAUGUCAAUUUCCACUUUCUGCUUCUGUAUUUUAGAUUCUAUCCAUUCCAUCUCCUCUUUGUCACUCUUAGUUUUUGCCAUCUUGUUUUCAAUGUCCUCUUUUUGUCUUUGUAUUUCAGCUUUUGUCUGUUCUAGCUUGUCCGUCUCUCUCUUUGUUUUCUCCAUCCUUUCUUCAAUCUCAUCUCUUUGCUUCUGUAGGUCAAGUUUCAUUGAUUCUAUCUGGUUCAUCUCUUUCUUGAUUUCCUUCAUUUUCUUAUUUAACUCCACCUUUUCUUUUUUCAGUUUGGCUGUCUUUUCACGGUCCUCCCUCUCUACAUUGUCCCAGAUCUUCUCCAUCUCUUCUUUUACUCUAGUUAGCUCAUAUCUUACUUUUUCAUAUUGUUCUCUUUCCCUCUUCGUUUUCUCGCUUAUUCUCUCCAAUAGUUCAUUUUCUCUUAGAAUAUCUUCUUUCAUCUGUUCCAUCACGUCUCUGGCUUGCUUUGUUUUCUUAAUUGUUCUUGUCAUUUCCUCACGCUGGUUCUGUAUUUCAACCUUCAUCCGUUCAACUUUGUCUCUCUCUUGAUUAGAGGUAUCCCUUGCUUGUUUUAACUCCCUCUGUAUUUCCUUCUUGGUUUGCUCUAUCUCCUCUCUUUCUCUCUGAAUGUGAGCUCUAUGUUCAAACUCUUCCUUGGCAGUUUCAUUUCUCCUUCUCUCAAUCUCCUGCUUUUCCUUUAGUGUCUCACACCGAAGCAAUUCCAGGUCCUCUCUUUCUCGGUUGGUUUCAAGACGUUGUCUUUCCAAGACAGCCCGUUCUGACAAAACCUCUAUUUUAAUUUUCUCUAGUAUCUCUCUGUCUUGCUUUGCUUCUUCUGUCUUCUUUUGUAAAUCACCUUCCUUAUUCUGAAGCUUUAUUUUUUCAUACUCCUCUUUAGAUCUCUGUAUCUUAUCUCUUAUUUUUUCCAAAAUGUCUCUUUCUCUUUGAAUCUCAGCUCGUUGUUCAAUUUCUUCUUUCACAACUUCAUAUUUUUGUCUCUCAAUUUCAGCUUUUACUCUUCCAACCUCAUUCCUUUGCUUUUCCAGCUGUAGCUUUUCCUGAGUCACCUCCUCUUUUGCUCUCUUCGCCUCCAUCAUACAGUUCUCCAUUUCUUUCAUUUGUUUUUGGAGUUCAGCCUUCAUCUCUAUGACCUCUUCCUUCUCUUGCUUUGUGACUUCUUUGCUCUUCUGAAUGUCUUUCUUUUCUUCCUGAAGUUUUUGCUCCAUUUCUAUUAGGUCCUCAUUUUUAAUUUUGGCCUCUUUAGAUUUUUUCUCUGCCAUUUGUUUUUCUUUUUCAACAUUUACUUUUAUAUUUUCCAGGUUUUCUUUUUCUUGCUGAAUUUCCAACUUUCUUUUUUCUAUUUCACCCUGGACUUCCUGUAUUUCCUCCUUCAACUUUUCUAGUAAUUCUUUCUCGCACUGUGAUAUUGCUUUCUUUUCCAACUCUGUUUUCUCAGCUUCGCAAAAUCUUCUCUCCAUUUCCUCUUUUAAUUGAAUUAUUUCAUACCUAAUCUCUUCAUAAUGCUCUAUCUCUUUCUUUGUCUUUGUUCUUAUACCCUCCAAAUUGUCCCUUUCUCUCUGUAUCUCUGCAUGUAUUUCUUCCAUUUUUUCUUUUGCUUGUUUUGUUUCCGUAACUUUAGCUUCUAUAUCUUCUAUCUGUUUCUGUAUAUUCAUUUUCAUUUCUGCCAUUUCAUCUUUUUCUCUUUUUGUGAUCUCCCUGCUUUGCUCAGUCUCCUCUUUUAUUUUCAUUGUUUCAAAGUGUGUCCUUUCCAACUCUUUUCUCUCUCUCAUUAAAUCUUGUUUUUUCCUCUCCAGGUUUUCUUUUUCAUUCUGAAUUUCAGCACUUAAUAGUUCUAUCUCUUCUCUCUGUCGCUUUACUUCUUCAACCAACUUUUUGGCUUGAGCUCUCUCUAUGUCUAGUCUUGUUUUUUCAACCUCCCUGGCUUUCUGUAUUUCAAACUUCAGCCUUUCCACUUGUUCCCCCUCCUUCUGUAUUUCAGCCCUUUGCUCCAGCUCCUCCUUGACUGUCUCAUACCUUCUUUUUUCCAUUUCCUCCUUCAAUCUUAUGGUGUCAUCUCUUUGUUUCUCCAGUGCCUCUUUCGCUCUCUGUAUAUCUGCUUUUACCUGUUCCAUUCGAUCAUUUUCUAUCUUUGUUUCCUUCAUUCUUUUCUCAAUCUUUUCCAUUUUUCUCUGCAGAUCAACUUUCCUCUGUUCCAGCGUUUUGUUCUCUCGCUUUGCCACUUCUCUGUUUUGAUUCAUUUCCUCUGUUUCCAAUUGAAUUGCAUACCUAAUCUGCUCCAACUCUUUUUGUUUUCUUAAUGUCUCUUGUUUGUCCUUCUCAAGUAAAUUCUUUUCUAAAUUAAUCUCUGUUUUCAUUUCGUUUAUCUGGUCUUUCUCUUGGUUGGUCUUUUCCCUGCUUUGAGCCAUCUCUUCUUUAGCCCUCUGUAGCUCAGCUUGUACAAUUGCCAGUUCAUCUUUCUCUUGCUUGAUCCUAGUUCUCUGCUCAAGCUCUUCUUUUUCAGUUUCAAACCACCUCCUCUCCAUCUCUUCUUUUACUUUAUUUAUCUCAUUUUUAAUCUGCUCAAAUUGUUCUGUUUUUCUUUUGAUAUCAUUCCUUUUGGUCUCCAGCUGAUCUCUCUCCCUGUGUACCAUCGCUCUUAUCUCUUCCAUUUUCUCUUUUGCUUGAUUUGUUUCUGCAAUUCUUAUUUCUAUUUCCUCUAUCUGUCGCUGAAGGUCAGAUUUCAUCCAUUCCAUUUUCUCCUGGUCUUUUUUUGUCGUUUCCCUGCAUUGCUCCAUCUCCUCUUUUGCUUUCAAUGUCUCAUAUUUAAUCAAUUCCAAACUCUGUCUCUCAUUAAUGGUCUCAUUGCGUCUUCUCUCCAGAAUGUCUUUCUCAUUUUGGACAUCAGCCCAGAUUUGUCUAAUUCGUUCUUUCUCUAUAUUUAUUUCCUCUUUGUUCUGUUCUAGUUUUUUAUUCACAUUCUCCAUCUCCAUUCUCAUCAGCUCCAUUUUUGUGUUUUGCUCGUGUUUUUCAGCUAUUAGCUUUUCGAUUUCAUCUUGUUGUUGCUUAAUCUUUCCUUUCAUGUAGUCAGUAUCAUUUCUUUCUCUUUUUGACCCCUCCCAAAGUUUUUCAAUCUCCUCAAUUGCUUGCAUUGUUUCUUGUCGUCGUCUCUUAAGUGAGUCCUUUUUUCUCUGUAUUUCAACUUUCUGUGUUUUUGUGUCCUGUGAUUGUCUGGCAUCUUCAUGCGUUGGCUCCUGUCCUGUCUGUGUUGUCUUACUGUUACGUUGUCUCUGCUCUGUUUUUGGUAAGGAAGAACAAU
Molecule: long non-coding RNA, 4342 nt
Organism: Esox lucius (northern pike)
Lineage: Eukaryota; Metazoa; Chordata; Actinopteri; Esociformes; Esocidae
Source: Ensembl